Molecule: long non-coding RNA, 875 nt
Organism: Cicer arietinum (chickpea)
Lineage: Eukaryota; Viridiplantae; Streptophyta; Magnoliopsida; Fabales; Fabaceae
Source: RefSeq, a predicted model, not a curated record
GGCCACAUAUUUAUUAAGGGAUUUUAUUUACUUAUUUUUCUUUCACAAAAGCUAUAGAUCUGACUCUUAUACUAGUAUAUCUAAAAAAAGAAAGCAAUCAAUGCCUCAAGCAUUCUCAGGAAUUCGUUGACAAGAAAGGGUAGGCAAAGUAGCAAGGUGAUGUCCGUCGAAAUUGAGGAUGUUCACGAUGCUGAGGAGUUGAAAGCUGUUGAAGAGUUUCGUCAAGUGCUUAUAUCGGACAAACUUCUCCCUGAAAAACAUGACGACUAUCAUAUGAUGCUUAGGUCACUUUUUCUUAUGUGUUUAGUCUAUCAUAUGAUUCACAAUUUUGCAUGCUUGGUUGGUUCUGGAGCUAAUUUUCCCAAUCUUCGCUACUAAAAAAUUCCACAUGUUUUCAUAAGUGCACUUCAAAACGACACAUUAUUUGAAAGUGCCUUUGUUUUAGGACAGCAUCCCACCCCACUCGACACUCUACACAAUUACCACUGCAUUGCAUUCUCUACAACCACUCAAAGUUCCUGGUUUCAGGCUGAAACGUUAUAAAGGGUUCAAGGAGGGGAAUAGACAUUGAACGUGUGAAUAUAAUAUAAACUAUGAUAUGCCUGACGGUGCAGACACAUACGUGCACAGGGUUGGCCGGGCUGGAAGAUUUGGCACCAAAGGUCUUGCAAUUACAUUUGUUUCAUGUUCAACUGAUGUGAAUGUUCUCAACAAUGUAUGACAAUUGACUCUUUUUUGUUACCAAUUUACAUUGUAUAGUUUUAGUAGGAUGUCAUAUGAGUAAUGUGGUGUAUUGAUAGUGAUGCUGUGAUUUAUGGUUGUUCUUUAUCAAUAUUGUUUUGGAGUUUCUGUCUACAGUUUGUUUUAUUGUUAAA